RNAcentral lists this ribosomal RNA (494 nucleotides) under uncultured bacterium. RNAcentral describes it as "partial 16S ribosomal RNA". It matches the Rfam family "Bacterial small subunit ribosomal RNA", at positions 28 to 507 of the family's 1533-position model. The record is from RNAcentral.
GACGAACGCUGGCGGCGUGCUUAACACAUGCAAGUCGAACGGUGAAGCGCCUUCCUUUUUGGUGGGUGUGGAUGAGUGGCGAACGGGUGAGUAACACGUGAGUAACCUGCCCCCUUCUUCUGGAUAACCGCAUGAAAGUGUGGCUAAUACGGGAUAUUCUGGUUCUGUCGCAUGAUGGGUCUGGGACAGAUAUUGUUUCGGUUGGGGAUGGGCUCGCGGCCUAUCAGCUUGUUGGUGGGGUGAUGGCCUACCAAGGCGGUGACGGGUAGCCGGCCUGAGAGGGUGGACGGUCACACUGGGACUGAGACACGGCCCAGACUCCUACGGGAGGCAGCAGGGGGGAAUAUUGCACAAUGGGAGCAAGCCUGAUGCAGCGACGCCGCGUGAGGGAUGGAGGCCUUCGGGUUGUGAACCUCUUUCGCCAGUGAAGCAGGCCUGCCUCGUUUGUGGGUGGGUUGACGGUAGCUGGAUAAGAAGCGCCGGCUAACUACGUG